CAGCCGCCGCGGUAAGACGGAGGGUGCUAGCGUUGUUCGGAAUCACUGGGCGUAAAGGGCGCGUAGGCGGCCUGUUAAGUCGGAUGUGAAAGCCCGGGGCUCAACCCCGGAACUGCAUCCGAGACUGGCAGGCUUGAGACCGGGAGAGGAGGGUGGAAUAUCCAGUGUAGAGGUGAAAUUCGUAGAUAUUGGAUGGAACACCGGUGGCGAAAGCGGCUCUCUGGCCCGGAUCUGACGCUGAGGCGCGAAAGCGUGGGGAGCAAACAGGAUUAGAUACCCGGGUAGUCCCUGUCUCUUAUAC
RNAcentral lists this ribosomal RNA (301 nucleotides) under uncultured bacterium. RNAcentral's name for it is "partial 16S ribosomal RNA". It matches the Rfam family "Bacterial small subunit ribosomal RNA", at positions 509 to 807 of the family's 1533-position model. The record is from RNAcentral.